RNAcentral lists this ribosomal RNA (552 nucleotides) under uncultured archaeon. RNAcentral describes it as "bacterial SSU rRNA". It matches the Rfam family "Archaeal small subunit ribosomal RNA", at positions 326 to 878 of the family's 1478-position model. The record is from RNAcentral.
CGGGGUGCACCAGGCGCGAAAACUUUACAAUGCUGGCAACAGCGAUAAGGGGACCUCGAGUGCCAGGUUACAAAUCUGGCUGUCAAGAUGCCUAAAAAGCAUUUCAUAGCAAGGGCCGGGCAAGACCGGUGCCAGCCGCCGCGGUAACACCGGCGGCUCGAGUGGUAACCGUUAUUAUUGGGUCUAAAGGGUCUGUAGCCGGCCGGAUAAGUCUCUUGGGAAAUCUGGCAGCUUAACUGUCAGGCUUUCAGGAGAUACUGUCUGGCUCGAGGCCGGGAGAGGUGAGAGGUACUUCAGGGGUAGGGGUGAAAUCUUGUAAUCCUUGAAGGACCACCAGUGGCGAAGGCGUCUCACCAGAACGGACCUGACGGCAAGGGACGAAAGCUAGGGGCACGAACCGGAUUAGAUACCCGGGUAGUCCUAGCCGUAAACGAUACUCGCUAGGUGUCGGCCACGGUGCGACCGUUGUCGGUGCCGUAGGGAAGCCGUGAAGCGAGCCACCUGGGAAGUACGGCCGCAAGGCUGAAACUUAAAGGAAUUGGCGGGGGAGCA